RNAcentral lists this small nuclear RNA (128 nucleotides) under Mus pahari (shrew mouse). Its description in RNAcentral is "predicted gene, 24635 (MGP_PahariEiJ_G0033199.1)". The stretch from base 1 to 78 matches the Rfam family "U4 spliceosomal RNA". From Rfam's summary of the family: U4 small nuclear RNA (U4 snRNA) is a component of the major U2-dependent spliceosome. The structure of U4 snRNA from yeast and human has been reported. U4 snRNA presents a k-turn RNA motif in the 5p-SL related to recognition of Snu13 protein. The record is from RNAcentral. Lineage: Eukaryota; Metazoa; Chordata; Mammalia; Rodentia; Muridae.
AGCUUAGAGCAGUGACAGUAUCAUAGCCAAUGAGGUUUAUCCAAGGCGCAAUUAUUGCUAAUUGAAAAAAAAGAACAUGAUUUUAUCAGAGGACUAAUCUAUUGUUAGACCAAAGCUGCACAACCCAG